UCUCGUUAACCCGAGUUAUGUAAGAAAUCCCAGAAAAUGUGGUUAAUUUUACUCUCUAUGCCAGAUUUCUAGCUUUAUAGACAAGUGAAGUAAAGGAAACUAUUAUACAUGUGAUAGGUCUAGAUUUAACAAAAACCCGGUCUUCCAGCUAUUAACUGGUGCUGUUCAAGAGAGUAAUAAUGGAGUGCCUAGCACUGUGGUGCACAGGAAAAAAUAAAAAGCUGCAACUUCAGUGAGAAAAGAAAAAACAAACACAACUUGGAUUUAUAAUGAGUUAAUAUACAGACAGUAAUUCACUUUAGUAGGAUUUAAUCAGUGACUGAAAAAAGAAAAAUAUUUAGAUUUAUAAAAGACUGGGAUCAAUAUUUUACAUGUUGUAGUGAUGAAAUAUUCUGUUAUAUUUCUUCAGGAAAAUUGCAAACAAACUUUAAAUAAAUGUUAGAUUUCUUUUUGUUAACAAAAUCGCAACUAAUU
Mercenaria mercenaria is the source of this 474-nucleotide long non-coding RNA. RefSeq lists it as uncharacterized. The record is from RefSeq and is a predicted model, not a curated record. The transcript has 2 exons. Lineage: Eukaryota; Metazoa; Mollusca; Bivalvia; Venerida; Veneridae.